RNAcentral lists this microRNA (21 nucleotides) under Cordylochernes scorpioides. The record is from RNAcentral. Lineage: Eukaryota; Metazoa; Arthropoda; Arachnida; Pseudoscorpiones; Chernetidae.
AGAACUUGUUGAUCAUGCGUA